GACGAACGCUGGCGGCGUGCUUAACACAUGCAAGUCGACCGGAGCGGCGAACGGGUGAGUACCGCGUGAGUAACUGCCCCCCUCUCUGGGAUAACAGUUGGAAACGGAUGCUAAUACCGGAUAGUGGGGGAUGACUCGCGUCCUAUCAGCUUGUUGGUGAGGUAGUGGCCUACCAAGGCGACGACGGGUAGCCGGCCGGGGAGGGCGACCGGCCACAUUGGGCUGAGAGACGGCCCAGACUCCUACGGGGGGCAGCAGUGGGGAAUAUGGCACAAUGGGGGAAACCCUGAUGCAGCAGCGUCGCGUGCGGGAUGACGGCCGUCGGGGUGUAAACCGCUUUCAGCCAUGACGCGGUAGUGGCAGAAGAAGCACCGGCUAACUACGUGCCAGCAGCCGCGGUAAUUC
RNAcentral lists this ribosomal RNA (405 nucleotides) under uncultured bacterium. RNAcentral's name for it is "partial 16S ribosomal RNA". It matches the Rfam family "Bacterial small subunit ribosomal RNA", at positions 28 to 526 of the family's 1533-position model. The record is from RNAcentral.